This 450-nucleotide ribosomal RNA is filed under the name uncultured bacterium. RNAcentral describes it as "partial 16S ribosomal RNA". It matches the Rfam family "Bacterial small subunit ribosomal RNA", at positions 354 to 796 of the family's 1533-position model. The record is from RNAcentral.
GUGGGGAAUUUUGGACAAUGGGCGCAAGCCUGAUCCAGCAAUGCCGCGUGCAGGAAGAAGGCCUUCGGGUUGUAAACUGCUUUUGUACGGAACGAAAAGGCUCUGGUUAAUACCUGGGGCUCAUGACGGUACCGUAAGAAUAAGCACCGGCUAACUACGUGCCAGCAGCCGCGGUAAUACGUAGGGUGCAAGCGUUAAUCGGAAUUACUGGGCGUAAAGCGUGCGCAGGCGGUUUUGUAAGACAGACGUGAAAUCCCCGGGCUCAACCUGGGAAUGGCGUUUGUGACUGCAAAGCUGGAGUGCGACAGAGGGGGAUGGAAUUCCGCGUGUAGCAGUGAAAUGCGUAGAUAUGCGGAGGAACACCGAUGGCGAAGGCAAUCCCCUGGGCCUGCACUGACGCUCAUGCACGAAAGCGUGGGGAGCAAACAGGAUUAGAAACCCCGGUAGUCC